Syngnathus acus (greater pipefish) is the source of this 375-nucleotide long non-coding RNA. RefSeq lists it as uncharacterized. The record is from RefSeq and is a predicted model, not a curated record. NCBI's taxonomy places the organism in Eukaryota, Metazoa, Chordata, Actinopteri, Syngnathiformes, Syngnathidae. The transcript is spliced from 2 exons.
UUUUGGCCACAGUGGAAUCCAGGAAACUCUCGUCCUCAAAGAUCAGGUAACCGUUUGGAAUCAUUUUAGCGCAAUUUGCUUUGUCUGCCUAAUAAGUCAAAUCUGGGGAAACGCUGCUCCAAGUGUCGAACGGGAGCUGAAGGUAGUCAAACAGGCAAGAGUGUCUGGGGAAACUCUAGUCUUCUUCACCCAAAGAGUGGGUGGGAUGGGGAAGUGGUGAGAAGAAAUGCUAGUGGACGACACAGGUGGCAGCAGAAGGGAGAGAGGCAGCAAACUAUCAGGCUUGAAGCGACUGUAAUCAAGUCCUCGUGAACCCGUUGGCUAUAGAGCUGUACUUAUUCUGUGUUUGUCGUACAUCAUAACCUGGAGGAGAGA